This 465-nucleotide ribosomal RNA is filed under the name Vreelandella stevensii. RNAcentral describes it as "partial 16S ribosomal RNA". It matches the Rfam family "Bacterial small subunit ribosomal RNA", at positions 338 to 795 of the family's 1533-position model. Lineage: Bacteria; Pseudomonadati; Pseudomonadota; Gammaproteobacteria; Oceanospirillales; Halomonadaceae. The record is from RNAcentral.
CCUACGGGAGGCAGCAGUGGGGAAUAUUGGACAAUGGGGGGUACCCUGAUCCAGCCAUGCCGCGUGUGUGAAGAAGGCCCUCGGGUUGUAAAGCACUUUCAGUGAGGAAGAACGCCUGGUGGUUAAUACCCAUCAGGAAAGACAUCACUCACAGAAGAAGCACCGGCUAACUCCGUGCCAGCAGCCGCGGUAAUACGGAGGGUGCGAGCGUUAAUCGGAAUUACUGGGCGUAAAGCGCGCGUAGGUGGCUUGAUAAGCCGGUUGUGAAAGCCCCGGGCUCAACCUGGGAACGGCAUCCGGAACUGUCAAGCUAGAGUGCAGGAGAGGAAGGUAGAAUUCCCGGUGUAGCGGUGAAAUGCGUAGAGAUCGGGAGGAAUACCAGUGGCGAAGGCGGCCUUCUGGACUGACACUGACACUGAGGUGCGAAAGCGUGGGUAGCAAACAGGAUUAGAUACCCCAGUAGUC